CAUGCAAGUCGAACGAAGUAGCAAUACUUAGUGGCAGACGGGUGAGUAACAUGUAGGUAUCUACCCUUUGGCCUGGAAUAACACGAGGAAACUUGUGCUAAUACCGGAUAAGUCUUUACGGAGAAAGCUUUAUGCACCAUUGGAUGAGCCUGCACUUGAUUAGUUUGUUGGUGGGGUAAUGGCCUACCAAGACUGUGAUCAAUAGCUGAUUUGAGAGGAUGAUCAGCCACAUUGGGACUGAGACACGGCCCAAACUCCUACGGGAGGCAGCAGUGGGGAAUCUUGCACAAUGGAGGAAACUCUGAUGCAGCGAUGCCGCGUGAGUGAAGAAGGCCUUUGGGUUGUAAAGCUCUUUCGUCGGGGAAGAAAAUGACUGUACCCGAAUAAGAAGGUCCGGCUAACUUCGUGCCAGCAGCCGCGGUAAUACGAAGGGACCUAGCGUAGUUCGGAAUUACUGGGCUUAAAGAGUUCGUAGGUGGUUGAAAAAGUUAGUGGUGAAAUCCCAGAGCUUAACUCUGGAACUGCCAUUAAAACUUUUCAGCUAGAGUAUGAUAGAGGAAAGCAGAAUUUCUAGUGUAGAGGUGAAAUUCGUAGAUAUUA
Molecule: ribosomal RNA, 600 nt
Filed under: uncultured Alphaproteobacteria bacterium
Lineage: Bacteria; Pseudomonadati; Pseudomonadota; Alphaproteobacteria
Description: bacterial SSU rRNA
Rfam family: Bacterial small subunit ribosomal RNA
Source: RNAcentral